GAUGAAGAACGUAGCGAAAUGCGAUAAGUAAUGUGAAUUGCAGAAUUCAGUGAAUCAUCGAAUAUUUGAACGCACAUUGCGCCCGUUAGCAUUCUAGCGGGCAUGCCUGUCCGAGCGUCAUUUCAACCCUCAGGGUCCCCGUUCCGGCGGGGAACCUGGUGUUGGGGAUCGGCCCGCCCCGUGCGGCGCCGUCCCCCAAAUUCAGUGGCGGUCUCGCUGCAGCCUCCCCUGCGUAGUAGUUACAACCUCGCAUCGGAGCUCAGCGCGGCCACGCCGUAAAACCCCCGACUUUCUGAACGUUGACCUCGGAUCAGGUAGGAAUACCCGCUGAACUUAAGCAUAUCAAUAAGCGGAGGA
RNAcentral lists this unclassified non-coding RNA (357 nucleotides) under soil metagenome. RNAcentral describes it as "partial contains 5.8S ribosomal RNA, internal transcribed spacer 2, and large subunit ribosomal RNA". The stretch from base 1 to 120 matches the Rfam family "5.8S ribosomal RNA", at positions 35 to 154 of the family's 154-position model. The record is from RNAcentral.